UCCUGCCAGUGCAACUCAACACUGCCAAGGUCAUGAACAACCAGGAAGGGCUGAGGAAGUGUCACAGACCGAAGGAGACCAGGGAGACACGGCAACUAAAUGCAAUAUGGUAGCCUGGACUGCAUCCCGGAAAAGAAAGAGGACAUUAGCGGGAAAACCGGUGAAAUCCCCAGUCUGGGAUUGAGUUGACAGUAAGGUUAGAAGCAACAAAACCGGACUACAGUCGCGGUCCUUUCUGAGGCCUAGAUGUUCAGCUUUUCUUCGGUUAAAUGAGAUGCUACAGGUCUUCGUGACAUCAGAAAACCACAUUUCCGAGUCCCCUGGCCUCUGGCUCCUGCGUGGGUUUGACCGAUUGGAGGCACUGGUGGAGGAGGCGAUCACAGCAGUGAAGACAGAAGCCUGGCUAUAUGGUUGCCUUGGAGAUCCCAGAGUUUCCCACCCAGCCCACGCCUGACCUCUCAUCUCCCCCACGACGCUCAGAUGGCCCCGGGAAAUCCUGGAGAGGACCUGCCAAGAGCCGUGGCCAAGAGGUGGCGAAGGAGUCCAGCAGACUCAUUUCCUGCUCGCCGUGUUGGGAAGUUGGCACCGGCUUCACAGUUGAGAUCUUCUUGUUGAAAUCUCAUUAGAUUCUUCUGUGUUAUCCUUGAACGGAAUCCUGGACAUUAACACUGAAUAAGGUCUGGCAGUGGGAAUCAGGCACAACCAUCUAUUGAGGAAGAUUUCUUUUAAACAAUUUUCGAGGUCAGCACCCUCAAACACAACAUUCUGUGGUGAUGGAAAGAAAACUUGUGCGACC
Zalophus californianus (California sea lion) is the source of this 796-nucleotide long non-coding RNA. RefSeq lists it as uncharacterized. NCBI's taxonomy places the organism in Eukaryota, Metazoa, Chordata, Mammalia, Carnivora, Otariidae. The transcript has 6 exons. The record is from RefSeq and is a predicted model, not a curated record.